AUUGAACGCUGGCGGCAUGCUUUACACAUGCAAGUCGAACGGUAACAGGCCUUCGGGUGCUGACGAGUGGCGAACGGGCGAGUAAUGCAUCGGAACGUGCCCAGCGGUGGGGGAUAACGCAGCGAAAGCUGUGCUAAUACCGCAUGUGAUCUGAGGAUGAAAGCGGGGGACCAGGCAGCAAUGUUUGGCCUCGCGCCUUUGGAGCGGCCGCUGUCCGAUUAGGUAGUUGGUUGGGUAAAGGCCUACCAAGCCGACGAUCUGUAGCUGGUCUGAGAGGACGACCAGCCACACUGGAACUGAGACGCGGCCCAGACUCCUACGGGAGGCAGCAGUGGGGAAUUUUGGACAAUGGGCGCAAGCCUGAUCCAGCAAUGCCGCGUGCGGGAAGAAGGCCUUCUGGUUGUAAACCGCUUUUGUACGGAACGAAAAGGCUCUGGCUAAUACCUGGGGCUGAUGACGGUACCGGAAGAAUAAGCACCGGCUAACUACGUG
This 492-nucleotide ribosomal RNA is filed under the name uncultured bacterium. Its description in RNAcentral is "partial 16S ribosomal RNA". It matches the Rfam family "Bacterial small subunit ribosomal RNA", at positions 30 to 507 of the family's 1533-position model. The record is from RNAcentral.